This is a long non-coding RNA of Sphaerodactylus townsendi, 643 nucleotides long. RefSeq lists it as uncharacterized. The transcript has 3 exons. Lineage: Eukaryota; Metazoa; Chordata; Lepidosauria; Squamata; Sphaerodactylidae. The record is from RefSeq and is a predicted model, not a curated record.
AGUAGUGGAUGUUGCAGGUUGAACAGUUGCUGUUUUCGCCCUGCGGGGGUGAACAGACCUGCUAGAAACAGCAGCGAGGGGUGAAUCGUGCCGUUUGCUCCUUCCCAGUGCACCACUGAUGUGCCUGCUGUAAUACCGAGAGGGUGCAAAUCAGCCCCGAUUUGUCAGACUUCUCCUCGGGGGAGGGGGUGGCAGCGGGUGUCUGUUUCUCACAUGCGCUCUGGGCAUCGGCAAAGGGACAUUAUCUAGGAGUGGGAAGUCUUUUAGCUGGGGUCAAGAGACAGGAAAUGGAAGUGAACCUUGCCGGAGGGAAGGAAUUUUUUUAUCCCCAGUCUGUUCCGAUUUUGGCUGGCAACCCGGUGUAGGUAGUCCUUUCUUUCCUGUAGGUGUAGGUAGUCCUUUCUUUCCUGUAGGUGUAGGUAGUCCUUUCUUUCCAGUAGGUGUAGGUAGUCCUUUCUUUCCUGUAGGUGUAGGUAGUCCUUUCUUUCCUGUAGGUGUAGGUAGUCCUUUCUUUCCUGUAGGUGUAGGUAGUCCUUUCUUUCCUGUAGGUGUAGGUAGUCCUUUCUUUCCAGUAGGUGUAGGUAGUCCUUUCUUUCCUGUAGGUGUAGGUAGUCCUUUCUUUCCUGUAGGUGUAGGUAGUCCU